ACCAUACAAGGUGUCUCUCUGUGCUUCCAUUGUUUCAGUCCAUCACUCUCUUCUCCCAUUCUCCUCCCACACCACACCAUGGUCUUCUAGCUUCAAACUAGUGGCUGCUCAGCAUCUCUCUGCUUUGCUUGGUUUCUUUCUUCCUAUAUUGCUGGAAAAAAAAUUUAUGUAAAAAAGGUCUGACAUGGCGGAGAAUAUUGCUUAUGCCAUUUUGGGGAGAAUUGGAAAAUAUUUGGUUGAUCCAAUUGUGCUACGGUUGGGAUAUCUAUUUUGCUUCAACAACAACAUUGAGAAUUUGAAAGAUCAAGUGCAGAAGCUUGAAACUAUGCGAGAUGGGGUGCAAGUACAGGUGGAUGCCGCCAGGAGAAACGUAGAGAUUGUCGGAAAUGAUGUUGAAGAGUGGAUGACUAGUGUGGAUAACAUCAGGGAAGUGGCAGACAGAAUUAUUUUAGAAAAAACAGAAAUUCAGAAGGGAUGUUUGAAUCUGAAGUCACGUUAUGCGCUGAGCAGGAAAGCAACAAAGAGGACUCAAGUUGCUGUUGAGCUAAGACAAGAUGGAAAAUUCGAGAAAGUAUCAUGCUCUGCACUUCCAAUGGGGAUAGAAUCUCUAUCCUCGAGGAGUUUUAAGGAAUUUGAGUCCCGAGUGUCAACUAUGAAUGAGAUCAUUGAGACUCUAAAGAAUGAUCAGGUCAGCAUGAUUGGGAUAUGCGGGAUGCCAGGUGUGGGCAAGACAACAAUGGCGAAGGAAGUUGCCAAAAAAGUGAAAGAAGACAAUCUGUUUGAUGAGAUUGUGAUGUCAGUUGUAAGCCAAAAGCCAGAGUUGAGUAAGAUUCAGAGGGAUAUUGCAGAAAUGUUGGAUCUGCAACUUGAAGAGCAAAAUCCUAUUGUCAGAGCUGGCCGGCUACGGAAGAGACUAGAAAACAAUAAGAAAAUUCUUGUGAUAUUGGACGAUGUUUGGGCAGAAUUUAAUGUGGAGGCCCUAGGAUUUCCUCUGGGAGGUGGCAGUAAAGGUUUCAAAAUACUUUUCACAUCCCGAAAUCGAUAUCUGUGGAGGAGAGUACAAACGAAAAUAGAUAUCUCACUUGAUGUCUUACACGAGGAGGAAGCAUGGAAUUUGUUUAGGGACAAGGUAGGAAAUUCUGCUACAAAUCCUGAUCUGCAAUCAAUAUCGAAAGAAAUUAUGGAGGAAUGCGGACGUUUACCUCUUGCACUGGUGACUAUUGGAAGUGCACUCCUAAACAAAAGCAAGCAUGUAUGGAGUGAUGCACUUCUUCAACUAAGAAUGCCUUGUUCCAAAAGCAUUUUGUCAGGAGUGCCUGCAAAUGUUUAUCGGUCUAUAGAGUUGAGUUACACUUAUUUAGAGGAUGAGGAAGCCAAGUCAUUGUUUCUGCUUUGUUGCUUAUUUGAAGAGAAUUAUUAUAUUCCCAUCGAAGAUUUGGUUAGAUAUGGAAUGGGGCUACGGUUGUUUGAAGGCAUCAAUGAACUAGGAGAAGCAAGAGAUCGAGUAUUUGUGUUGGUUGAUCAACUAAAGAGCUGCAAUUUGCUGUUAGAAAGUGACAUAGACAAUUUCAUUGAUAGUGUACAAGGUGAGCAUGUUAAAAUGCAUGAAGUAGUUCGUGAUGUUGCCAUAUCCAUUGGAUCCAGGGAUAAGCGUGUACUUGUGAUAAGUGAUGGCCUCAAACUGAGAGAGGGACCAAAGAAGGACAUGCAUGAGCACUACAAUUGCAUUUCAGUGAUAACGGAGAACACUAGGGAGCUUCCGGUGGGGUUUAGAAGCUCAAAACUUGAGUUGUUACGGUGCACAAGUCUUUCUUCAAGAAUGCCGGAUAGUUUCUUUGAGGGGAUGAGAGAACUCAAAGUUUUAGAUGUGCGGUGCAUGAUGUCUCGAUGGACACCUUUAUCACUUCGAUUCUUGAGGAACCUUCGAACAUUGUGUCUCGAUUAUCGCUUGGUGGGAGACAUAUCUGCAAUUGGAGAGUUAUUGAACCUAGAAAUACUCAGCUUUCGUGGUUCCCUCAUCCAGGGUUUACCAGAAGAAAUAGGAAAAUUGAUUAAUCUAAGGUUGUUGGAUUUGAGGAAAUGUAUAUAUCUCAGUAGAAUAUCACUGGAUGUCAUAUCAGGCCUGGCCAGAUUACAAGAACUGUACAUGAGAGACAGCUUGUUUGGUAAUUGGGAUGGUGAGGAAGAUAUAGGAGGCAAAACAAAAAUGAGAAAUGCUAGCCUCAGAGAGCUUGAGUCAUUGUCCAAUUUGAAUACUUUAGAGAUCAAAAUAAGAGAUGCAAAAGCUCUUUUGCCAAGAAAUUCCAGAGCCCUCUUUGGGAACCUGACGAAAUACACAAUUUUAAUAGGUAGCGAUUGCGACUGGCCAGUGAGAUGCCAACUCCAAAAGCAACUGGUACUCAAUCUUGGCACUUGUGUUCCUUUAGAGUAUGGGAUCAACUGGCUGUUAAAGAAUACCGAACUUCUUUGUUUACAAGGGGAGGGUUCAAAGGAUAUGGUAGAUGAGUUAGUUCGAGAUGGAGUUGAAGGACUGCAGCACUUGAAGUCUCUCUCAAUUCGUGAUUGUGAUACACUGGAAUGUGUGGUUGAUACAAUGAAUUGGAUUAUGCCUACUAAUACUGCUCCUGCUGUUUUUCCUAUUCUGGAAAGCUUGGAUAUUCAUUGUCUGCCUAGCUUGAGAGAUAUAUGUCUUGGCCAGUUUCCAGUGGGGUCCUUCAGAAAGCUAAGAGCAGUGAAGGUAUCACGUUUACCUGCUUUGACGCAUUUUCUGGUGGAGGGUCCAGCUCAAACUCAUGUCUGCCUCAGCUACCUGAGAUUCAUUGACGUGCAUCUUUGUUCUAAAUUGCGAAAUCUGAUUCCACUAUCAAUCGCAAGAGGUCUCGCGCAACUCCAAGCUCUUAACAUAUCUUGUUGUGAUAUGAUGGAAGAAGUUAUUUGGAAGGAAAGAGGAGAUGAUAGCAUUGGCAAUGCAACCACUGCGAAAAAGAUUGUGUUCCCCAAUUUAGAAGAAAUGCAGCUUGAUAGACUUCCAAAGCUCGCUGGUUUCUGUAGAGAGAUUGAUGAGAUCGAGUUCCCUCAAUUGAAGAAAUUGCACGUUGAAGGUCUACCACAAAUCAAAUGCCCCUUCCCCAAUAACAGCCAUAUGUCAUCAGAUUCAGAAGGAAACCACAAUGCUUUUAUGCAAUCUAUUUUCCCCCCAAAGGUUGCAUUCCCUAGCUUGGAGGUGCUAGAACUUGAGUUUCUUGACACUUUGGAAGGUUUGGCACAGGAUCCACUGCCAGUGGGGUCUUUGUGUAAACUUAGAAAAAUUAAUGUAGUCAACUGUGAUGAACUGGUAAAUGUGGUUCCAUCAAAAUUGCUGGCGAGGCUGCGAAAUCUUGAAGAACUCACUGUAGAGGACUGCAGGUCAGUGGAGAAGGUAUUUGACUUGGAAAGGUUGGAUAUUAAGGAAGGAGAUUCAGAUAUGCUCUCUCAAUUGAAAUCUGUCAAAUUAAUAUCUCUACCCAAACUGAACCAUAUUUCAAAGAGAGAUCUUAUUGGAUUUAUGUAUAUUCCGAGACUAAGUACGCUGCAUGUUCAUGAUUGUAAUAGCUUGAUGUAUCUAUUCUCACCAGCCAUGAUGAAAAGCAUUCCACAACUCCGAGAAUUGGAGAUAAGAAGAUGUAAGAUGAUGUCAGGAAUUGUUGCAGAAAGCAAUGGGAAAGGUGAAAGUUCAGUCCACAAAAUUGAGUUCCCUCAAUUGAAACUUUUGCGUCUUUAUGAUCUGUCAAACCUUGUGAGUUUCUUUCCCAAAGUGAUUGAUACUGUGGUUGCAACAAAUGGCAGCCUUCAGAACUCUCUUCAGCCUCUCUUCAAUGAGAAGGUUGCAUUUCCUAUAUUGGAGGAAUUGGAACUUGGUGGAUUGCAGAACACAAAUGACAUAUGGUGCAGCCAACUUCUGCCUGGCUCAUUCCAUAAACUAAAAUUAAUGUGUGUUUCAAAUUGUGGCAGUUUGCGAAGUCUAUUCUCUCCUUUCAUGGCCAGAUAUCUUGUGAACCUUCAAAAAUUAAUCAUCUUGACAAUGGAGGAAGCAGUUGCAAAGGAGGAAGAUGAAGUCAGAGGUACAGGAAAGAUUUAUAAAACUCUAUUCCCUCAGUUGAACCAUUUGGAACUCAGAGGUCUACCAAAGCUUGGGAGCUUUUGCCACGUUACUCAUGACUGGGAAUUACCAUUAGUGGAGUAUGUGCAUACCCAUAAUUGCCCUGAAUUGAAGACCUACUCACCUGGAUUCCUACGCUCCUCAAACAUACAACUUGGAUCUGGAGAAGAAUCGGCUCAGAUGGAUCACUUCAAAAACACCUUGCAAUACUUUUCUGGAAAGAUAUCGGGGCAUGAUGGGGGAACCGGAGCCAGCCCUAUAAGUUCCAUUAAGCAUGCAGGUGGUCGUUGGGAACUUGGGCUUACAACGCAUCAGACACUAAUUGAAAAUGGACUGAGAGAGAGGGCCAUUCUUAGAGUUGACGGAGGCUUCAAAAGUGGGUUUGGUUCUGUAGCAAUGAUUGCUACUGGAUGUGUUAUGGCUUGCAUCUGUCACACAAAUAAUUGUCCGGUUGGUGUUGCCAAUGAGAGGGAAGAACCACGACCUUGUUUUCCUGGCUUGCCUGGUGAUCUUGUCCACUUCUUUCCAUAUGUUGCUGAAGUGAUAUCAGAUGCAAUUGAGAAUAAGAAAGUUGUCAAUAAAACCAUAAAGAUAUACAAAGUGGACCGUGCAGUUUGUGGGCAUAUAGCAGGUGUAGUUGCAAAGAAAUAUGGUGACAAUGGUUUUACUGGGCAGCUGAAUAUAACAUUCUUGGGGAGUGCUGGACAGUCAUUUGCUUGUUUUCUGACACCUGGAAUGAACAUUCGGCUGGUGGGAGAAGCUAACGACUAUGUGGGAAAGGGUAUGGCUGGAGGGGAAUUGGUUGUAACUCCCGUUGAGAAUACCGGGUUCGGCCCCGAGGAAGCCACUAUAGUGGGAAAAGAAAAACCACAACCCACAUUAUGGGGGUCAACCUUUGCCUCUUAAUUACCUAACAAAGGUAAAUAAGGAAAUUGUAAAGAUCCAGAGAGUGGUUGCACCUGUGGGGCAGAUGCAGCUAAAGAACCUGAUUGAAGCCCAUGUUGAAAAAACUGGGAAUGGCAUAGGCUCUUCUAUUUUGAAGGAGUGGGACAAAUAUCUACCGCUAUUUUGGCAGUUGGUUCCACCUAGUAAAGAAGACACCCCCGAGGCUUGUGCAGAGUAUGAGAAAACUGCUUCUGAGACGGUGACUUUGCAGUCUGCUUAGAAGAUCAGCACCACACAAUACACACAGUGCAGUUGUAUAUAAAGUUUCAACCACACCGAUCAUGGCCAAAGCAGGGAUAGAUUCUAUGAUGGAAAUUCUUACUAAUUGAUUGGAGCGGUUUGCAGGUGACUGAAAUUUCGUGAUCAUCUUAUUACUUGGUGACUGAGACCUUGAUUGCUUCAUUGAAAAGCAAUCGAGUUUCCUGUACAGUGAUGGUGUGCACACUGUAAAUUUUAGGUAGCUGUGAUACGUUAAUUUUUAGUUUUGUUGGGUAAUAUGCUUUCAUGGCUUGUUUGUCCGGUAUUUUCUUAAGUUUUUCUAGUUUUAUUCAAGGAUAAAGCAUAUCUGAAUCUGAAAUUCUCGAUCUUGCUCCCUAAUUUUCUUUCCCUCUCUGGUUGUGCAAGUCUUGCACUUGUGACUGAACAAUGGUGUAAUUUAUGUAUCUCAUAAUUGUAAUAUACAUGCAACUAGCUA
This is a non-coding RNA of Camellia sinensis, 5777 nucleotides long. The record is from RefSeq and is a predicted model, not a curated record. NCBI's taxonomy places the organism in Eukaryota, Viridiplantae, Streptophyta, Magnoliopsida, Ericales, Theaceae.